ACAGACGGAAACAAAACUUAUGAUCAGAUUCAUUGACCAUGAGACAGGUCAUCUCCUGGCAGCACCCCACCUACCUCAAAGAAGAUGAUGAGCAUUAAAGAACUUCCAUAUGGAGACGGCUUCAAAUGUGACAAAUGAGCCAACUGGACAAAAAGAAAAUGCCCUCGUUUCACAACAGACAGAUUUCUGCUAAAAAAUGGGCAAACUUAAAUGCAGGAGAAGUCGACGGCUGAACUCUGCCAAGACAGGCUCUCAGAGUGCCAUUUGUUUUGUGUACCUUGGUUC
Long non-coding RNA from Psammomys obesus (fat sand rat), 285 nucleotides. RefSeq lists it as uncharacterized. The transcript is spliced from 3 exons. The record is from RefSeq and is a predicted model, not a curated record. Lineage: Eukaryota; Metazoa; Chordata; Mammalia; Rodentia; Muridae.